Molecule: ribosomal RNA, 491 nt
Filed under: uncultured bacterium
Lineage: Bacteria
Description: bacterial SSU rRNA
Rfam family: Bacterial small subunit ribosomal RNA
Source: RNAcentral
AAAGGAAUAGACGGGGGCCCGCACAAGCAGUGGAGUAUGUGGUUUAAUUCGAAGCAACGCGAAGAACCUUACCAGGGCUUGACAUCCCCUGAAUAUCUUAGAGAUAAGAGAAGCCCUACGGGGCAGGGAGACAGGUGGUGCAUGGUUGUCGUCAGCUCGUGUCGUGAGAUGUUGGGUUAAGUCCCGCAACGAGCGCAACCCCUGCCGUCAGUUGCCAUCAUUAAGUUGGGAACUCUGGCGGGACUGCCGGUGACAAAUCGGAGGAAGGUGGGGACGACGUCAAAUCAUCAUGCCCCUUACGUCCUGGGCUACACACGUACUACAAUGGCCACAACAGAGGGCAGCGAAGGAGUAAUCUGUAGCGAAUCCCCAAAAGUGGUCCCAGUUCGGAUUGUGGGCUGCAACUCGCCCACAUGAAGUCGGAAUUGCUAGUAAUGGCAGGUCAGCAUACUGCCGUGAAUACGUUCCCGGGCCUUGUACACACCGCCCGU